UAGCAGUGCGGCAGCUACACAUGCAAGUCGAGCGGAUGAAGGGAGCUUGCUCCCGGAUUUAGCGGCGGACGGGUGAGUAAUGCCUAGGAAUCUGCCUGGUAGUGGGGGACAACGACUCGAAAGGGUCGCUAAUACCGCAUACGCCCUACGGGAGAAAGUGGGGGAUCUUCGGACCUCACGCUAUCAGAUGAGCCUAGGUCGGAUUAGCUAGUAGGUGAGGUAAUGGCUCACCUAGGCAACGAUCCGUAACUGGUCUGAGAGGAUGAUCAGUCACACUGGAACUGAGACACGGUCCAGACUCCUACGGGAGGCAGCAGUGGGGAAUAUUGGACAAUGGGCGAAAGCCUGAUCCAGCCAUGCCGCGUGUGUGAAGAAGGUCUUCGGAUUGUAAAGCACUUUAAGUUGGGAGGAAGGGUUGUAGUUUAAUACGCUGCAAUCUUGACGUUACCAACAGAAUAAGCACCGGCUAACUCUGUGCCAGCAGCCGCGGUAAUACAGAGGGUGCAAGCGUUAAUCGGAAUUACUGGGCGUAAAGCGCGCGUAGGCGGCUUGAUAAGAUGGGUGUGAAAUCCCCGGGCUUAACCUGGGAACUGCAUCCAUAACUGUCUGGCUAGAGUACAGUAGAGGGUGGUGGAAUUUCCUGUGUAGCGGUGAAAUGCGUAGAUAUAGGAAGGAACACCAGUGGCGAAGGCGACCACCUGGACUGAUACUGACGCUGAGGUGCGAAAGCGUGGGGAGCAAACAGGAUUAGAUACCCUGGUAGUCCACGCCGUAAACGAUGUCUACUAGCCGUUGGAAUCCUUGAGAUUUUAGUGGCGCAGCUAACGCACUAAGUAGACCGCCUGGGGAGUACGGUCGCAAGAUUAAAACUCAAAUGAAUUGACGGGGGCCCGCACAAGCGGUGGAGCAUGUGGUUUAUUCGAGCACGCGAGACCUUACCUGGCCUUGACAUGCAGAGAACUUUCCAG
This 968-nucleotide ribosomal RNA is filed under the name uncultured bacterium. RNAcentral's name for it is "bacterial SSU rRNA". It matches the Rfam family "Bacterial small subunit ribosomal RNA", at positions 37 to 1003 of the family's 1533-position model. The record is from RNAcentral.